This 90-nucleotide transfer RNA is filed under the name Pacificibacter marinus. RNAcentral describes it as "tRNA-Ser". It matches the Rfam family "tRNA". From Rfam's summary of the family: Transfer RNA (tRNA) molecules are approximately 80 nucleotides in length. Lineage: Bacteria; Pseudomonadati; Pseudomonadota; Alphaproteobacteria; Rhodobacterales; Roseobacteraceae. RNAcentral also lists the same sequence under 1 other name. The record is from RNAcentral.
GGAGAGGUGCCGGAGUGGUCGAACGGGCCGGUUUCGAAAGCCGUUGUGCCUUUACGGGUACCCAGGGUUCGAAUCCCUGUCUCUCCGCCA